This 253-nucleotide ribosomal RNA is filed under the name uncultured bacterium. RNAcentral describes it as "partial 16S ribosomal RNA". It matches the Rfam family "Bacterial small subunit ribosomal RNA", at positions 524 to 776 of the family's 1533-position model. The record is from RNAcentral.
UACGAAGGGGGCUAGCGUUGCUCGGAAUUACUGGGCGUAAAGCGCACGUAGGCGGCUUUCUAAGUCGGGGGUGAAAUCCUGGAGCUCAACUCCAGAACUGCCUUCGAUACUGGAGAGCUCGAGUCCGGGAGAGGUGAGUGGAACUGCGAGUGUAGAGGUGAAAUUCGUAGAUAUUCGCAAGAACACCAGUGGCGAAGGCGGCGCACUGGCCCGGUACUGACGCUGAGGUGCGAAAGCGUGGGGAGCAAACAGG